CACCUGGGGACACGCCCGGACAGGUGUGACCCCUCCCCCCCCUCGGGGGGGCGUGGCCGCCGCGCGCCGGGGACCUGGCCCAGGUGAGCCACGCCCUGGGCGGGGCCACGGAGCGGCUGGAGAGGAUCCUGACACACCUGGGGCAGGAUUUGGGGCCCCGCCCCCCCCGCGACCCCCGCGCGCUGCUGGAGCUGCUGGGGGCGGGGCUGCGCCGGGGGGCGGGGCCAGCGCCGGGACCGCCCCCCCCGGGACCCUGCCCAGGUGAGACCGGG
This is a long non-coding RNA of Passer domesticus (house sparrow), 272 nucleotides long. RefSeq lists it as uncharacterized. The record is from RefSeq and is a predicted model, not a curated record. The transcript has 3 exons. NCBI's taxonomy places the organism in Eukaryota, Metazoa, Chordata, Aves, Passeriformes, Passeridae.